GGAGGGGAGCAUUUGUCCGGAAGCCCAGCAAAAAGUGUUAGCUCAAGGAAAAUGUGAAGCAGAUCUUAGGGAGUAUUUUGUGUCCCUGGGUUUUGUGUUUCUCUUGCACACAUCCAUGGGAAAGCAGUAAUCUAAAUAGAAGCAAUGCCUUGUCCACUCUCCUGAUAGGGUUUUUCACCAUCCUGGUGUUUUUAGCCUUUCUUCAUUUCAGGGAGCCGAGUUGUCUUCACCCAGGCAGCAAAUUGAUUUACAAACACACAGGCUCAGAGAAACUUAGCGACCAAUUACACAGUCUCCAAAUAUUCCAAACUCGCUCAGACGCCAGACAAAAGGGGUCAAGGCAGUUCAUCAGAUUCACUCCCUAAUUCUCCACCUCUGAAGCAAGCCCUCCCCAGGGAGCAGACAAGGAAAGGAAACAAUUGCCAAGUAUGGAUUCUUUGUUGAGGCUUUGAACAUGAAGGAUUUAUAAAUAAAAGACGUGAUCAAGGCAAAGAAAUACCCUGGGACCGGUGAUGCAGAUCCUGAUUGACUAGGUCCUGGAAGCCAAGUGAGAAAGUGUGCUAACUGCUGCUGAGAGAUCAAGAAGGCUUCCUGACCAGCAUCACAGAGCAAGUAAUCUAUUGCUAAAUCCGCCUGUCAUCCUGGCUGGGGCCAAGGAAAAUCAAGGGAUGGCAAAGCUUUGGAGAAGCUGAGGUAAGUAGUGUACAGGCAGCAGGCAUAUCGUGUCGUGACUCCACACACUGGCUCUGGAGGCAGGCUGGUUGUGUUCAGAUCCGGGCUUUCCCUCUUGCUAGCUCUGC
This is a long non-coding RNA of Acinonyx jubatus (cheetah), 800 nucleotides long. RefSeq lists it as uncharacterized. The transcript has 4 exons. The record is from RefSeq and is a predicted model, not a curated record. Lineage: Eukaryota; Metazoa; Chordata; Mammalia; Carnivora; Felidae.